CCUACGGGUGGCAGCAGUGGGGAAUAUUGCACAAUGGGGGAAACCCUGAUGCAGCGACGCCGCGUGAGGGAAGAAGUAUUUCGGUAUGUAAAGCUCUAUCAGCAGGGAAGAAAAUGACGGUACCUGAUUAAGAAGCCCCGGCUAACUACGUGCCAGCAGCCGCGGUAAUACGUAGGGGGCAAGCGUUAUCCGGAUUUACUGGGCGUAAAGGGAGCGUAGACGGGAGCACAAGUCUGGAGUGAAAUGCCGGGGCUUAACCCCGGAACUGCAUUGGAAACUGUUCGGCUAGAGUGCAGGAGAGGUAAGUGGAAUUCCUGGUGUAGAGGUGAAAUGCGUAGAGAUUAUGAGGAACACCGGUGGCGAAGGCGGCCUGCUGGACUAUGACUGACGUUGAGGCACGAAGGCGUGGGGAGCAAACAGGAUUAGAUACCCCAGUAGUC
RNAcentral lists this ribosomal RNA (440 nucleotides) under uncultured bacterium. Its description in RNAcentral is "partial 16S ribosomal RNA". It matches the Rfam family "Bacterial small subunit ribosomal RNA", at positions 338 to 795 of the family's 1533-position model. The record is from RNAcentral.